AUGGCGGAUUGUUUACAUUUGGCAGCGCCCGGGCUGCGCCGACCGCCGGCCCCAAGCAGCCGCGGGCCCCGAGGAGUCGGCCGAGCUGCCCCCGCGCCCUGGCCGGAAAAAAUGGUUUCCUCUGCGGAAUCCUUCCAGCAUCAUCGGCAUGCAACUGACAUACUUCCUUUGUACGGAGAAAAACAAAUCCUUAGGUCCUUCAAGUUAACCUCAGUUUUCCUUUCAAUAAAACUUAAAAAAAAAUGUUUAGUGCAUUCAGCAGUUUGCUUUUUCUUUCUCUUGCUUCCUCUGUCCAGAACCUUAGUUAAUAUCUGUGUCCUAUUUGGGAAAAAAUCACAGCCAGGACUGGCUGUGGAACAGAGCAGGACUGCAGUUGGUGAUAUUUCAGGAGCCUUGACUGGGGACCAGGGCAACAGAACCAGGCCCAUUUGCUUUUCUUGCAUAGGUCUUUUUGAGGCUCUGACAUCACACUGCUGCUGAAUGCACCAUCGUAAAUCCUACAGUGAGUUGAUUUGUUACCUGAGAAAGACAAUGCUGAGAUUAAAAACAAUCUUUUGCAUUAUCAUAGCAAUCAUACCUUUUUUAUACAAAAAAGGAUUCAAGUGAAUGAAUUCUUGAUUCGUAAUUUUUAUUAUACCCUGUGGAAGGCCCAUCUGGAAUAAGAUAUGCACCUACUGUUUCUCUUAUUCCCCUUGAAGGAGGCAAACACUAGGUGAUAGGUUUUCCUUUGUUAGAUGACACCGAAUUAUGUCUAUUUUUGGCUUAAUCACCAAAGCAACUUUCUAUCCAACUCAUUACAUCUUUAGUAAAGUAAAACUGAUUUCAUUAUUUGGCAGGUAUAGCCCAUCACUUUACCAUCCCACUACUCAGUUCUUUUUGACCCAUCGACAUUUUAAAAAGUAAGGUUUAUCUUCAGAGAGCAGAAUAGAAAUGGGAAUGGGUAGCAAGUUUUAGCUAACUCAAGAACUCAGGACUUAAUGGAGUCAGAAGCUUUCAGUGAAGAUUACACAUGUGCCUUUUCACAGUUGUGUGAACAUGAGAAACACAAAGCUGGUGCUUUCAUAAAGAGCUUCUACCCAGACACUUAACUCACUGGUUAGCUUGAGAUUCCAUUACUCAGUAACCCCAAGCACAUUCUCAUAAAUGGAUUUUAUGUUGACUGCCUGUCCAUAUCAGUUCAGAGAUCAUAAUCAUGGAAGAAAGUGAAUUGACUUCACAGUGACUUUAACAGAAGUAGAAAGAUCCGCCUAUGGGUUAUAGAUCUUGCUGACCCAGUAAGGGUCAGUAAAUUAGUAGACUGCACUUGAGUUGACACUUUCUGAUCCCAACUUAAUGGGUUGAUUAACUCAUGUCUGCUAUCUUCAUUAUGGGCUAUUAGCACAUUGUUAAGCCUGAUCUUAGAGUAAGAAAUUGUUUUUAUGUUUACUUUUUGGUUCCCAAGGUUAAUCAAUAUUCUCCAUGGCCUUACUAUUUUUCUUGAAACGGAGGAAGUUAGUUAAAUAAGUCCUUCUACAGAGAAAAAAAAAUUAAUAGUAUAACUACAUAUGAAUUUGGGAUGUAAAAUAUGGAGUGGAAGAAUUUUGCAAUAUACACAAAAAUAUCAUUAGAAACACCACCUUCAAAUGUAAAAAGUAUGUAUAAUAUAUAUAUAUUAAGGAAUUUGAAUUGACAUCCUCAUUAGUAGAAUCCUGACUCUCUUAUGUGUGCAUUUAAUGACAGACACAUUUAAUGUAUGAUAUUUAAACCUCUAAUGCUGGUUUGUGGAAAUUGCUAUGUAGAAAUAGUCAAUGCCUAAGUCUAGAACUUGUCUACUAGGAAGUGUAAAUUAGAGGCUCCAGUGAGGCAGGUAUUUGUGAUCAGAAUAAGCUAGAAAUCAAUCUCUAGACUGCAUUAUUAGAUUCAUGAAGUGUUUCUUCUUUCCUGGCUUUCCUGAAGUUUCUAGAGCAUUUCAAGGUAGUUGCAGUCCUGGUAGUCUGGGUAUCAUCAGUAAGUACUCUGUAGUCUCACCAUUUCGUAAUCAGUAUGUCAUUAAUACUGGGAAAACUGCUUAAGAAGCUUGCAAGAUUUAUAUUCCCAGCCAUGUAAUAGAUUUAAGAGUUGCAUAGGUCGUUCCACAUGGAACUUCAUUCUAAACUCAAUCUGUUCUUGUGUCAGCUAGGACCCAAAGUAAUAAUUUCUGGUAGGGUUUUUUGGAUUGAUUACUUGGUAAACAUUUAUUGAAACUCAAGCAAAAACAAAAAUAUAAUGAGACCCAAGAAUUAGUCUACAGAAAAAUAUGAGGAGAAGUGGGAUAUUUUUCUCUCUCUGAAAUCAAGAUGGAGAAGGGUGUCGAGGAAGCCUGAUAGUAUCAAUAACAAGGGAAUGGUCACCCGAAUUCAUGAGAGGCCACUGAAUUUGUCAAAGAGGAGAUCAUUGAUAACUUUACGAGGGGCAUUGACUGAGGGUGUACAUCGGAGGGCAAGAUUGUGGGAGGGUGAAAAGAUUGAAAAUGGUGAGAAAACUGUGAUAGAUAAUAUUAAAUUUGAAUAUCUCAGGAUGAUGUUCUUGAAAGGUACUGUAGUUGGAAAAUCCUCAGUUCACAAGGCCAGUCUCAGAGAAAAUAGUAUCUUAGUAGAAACUAAAUUUAAAAAGUAUUAAGUACAUUUAAAACUCUAUAGCAAAUAAAAGCUGAGGAAGGCACCUGCCUUCAAAACUAGCUACAUUGUCGGCAUUAAAAGCCUGUACCAACAGGUAAUCCUCUUGAGUCAUCUUCUUGAGUCGUUCAGGGACACAUGGCUGCAGCAUUGUGAUCUGCCAAGUACAAGUCUCCAAGCUCUAGGGUACACAGAUUAUUUUUGGUUUUAAAGUGUUUGAGCCCUUUCUUACUUGAAAUUUAAUGUCCUUU
Molecule: long non-coding RNA, 2884 nt
Filed under: Callithrix jacchus (white-tufted-ear marmoset)
Lineage: Eukaryota; Metazoa; Chordata; Mammalia; Primates; Cebidae
Description: lncRNA (ENSCJAG00000079291.1)
Source: RNAcentral